This 1182-nucleotide small RNA is filed under the name Pan troglodytes (chimpanzee). RNAcentral's name for it is "sense overlapping". Lineage: Eukaryota; Metazoa; Chordata; Mammalia; Primates; Hominidae. The record is from RNAcentral.
GCGACUUGGCGGCGGGUGCCAUGCGUCUGGAGCUUCACAUUCUCUGCCCCCAACCCACCGCGCCGGCGCUCCCUUGUCACGCCUCGGGAAGCGCGCACCUGCCAAGCAGGAUGAAUAAUCUGAUAUCAUGUGAAAUGAGGAAGUAAGAAGCUUUCUGCUGACUUCAUUUUGACCCAGGGUCCAAAAGGUGAUGUAAUCCUGUGGCAAGAAGAUUCAAAACUGUGGACUAUCUUGCAAAAAAUACAAGAAGAUAUUGAAAGUUUUCAUGAGUGCCUACCACCUAAUCUCAAACACUAUCAUUCAUAUGUGCCUCAUUGAGCAAAUCUUUAAUGAGGAUCUAUAUGCCAGAUAAUGUAGGCAUUGUUCCUAAGUCAUGCAGAGGGGUUGUGUAAGCAUGGUCAUUUGCAUCAUUAUCCUGCACAUCUGAUACAGCCAAACUCCACGCCACCUGGUUUGCUCAAUAUCUUUUGCUUGGGAGCAGAAACAGAAAGUACAUGGUGGACUUCAUUGAGGGAUGGAGAUUUGGAAGACAUGAAUGGAUGAAGAACCAAACGGAGUCUCGCUCUGUUGCCCAGGCUGUAGUUCAGUGGCGCAAUCUCGGCUCACUGCAAGCUCCGCCUCCCGGGUUCAUGCCAUUCUUCUGCCUCAGCCUCCCGAGUAGCUGGGACUACAGGCGCCUGCUACCAUGCCUGGCUAAUUUUUCGUAUUUUUUAGUAGAGACGGGGUUUCACCAUGUUAGCCAGGAUGGUCUCGAUCUCCUGACCUCGUGAUCCACCCAUCUCGGCCUCCCAAAGUGCUAGGAUUACAGGCAUGAGCCACCACGCCCAGCCAACUUAUAACUUUUAUAUCAUUAGACACAUGGAAUAUGGGCCUCCGUUUGUACUUAUGCCCUUGGCCCCACAAAUGUUAGGGAGAGGCCUGGCUCCUGCAAUGUACUAUUUACCUGUUGUAAAUAAUAGCCCUUCAAAAGUAUUAUUCUAAGUCUGUUUGACAUAAUAGGUCCAAAUUGUAUUACAACAUGGUAAAAAAACAACAAUCCGUUAACAAUCCUCUUUGGAUUUCUAAAAAAGUUUUGGUAGCCUAAACCCUUUCCCCAAUUUUUGAUAUCACUUCAUGUCAUUUUAGAGAGUAAGUUUUCCUGUUUUAUUAAUGUUUAUAUUUAAGCUGAAUUUUCUAAAAGAA